RNAcentral lists this ribosomal RNA (1252 nucleotides) under metagenome. RNAcentral describes it as "bacterial LSU rRNA". It matches the Rfam family "Bacterial large subunit ribosomal RNA", at positions 1635 to 2876 of the family's 2925-position model. The record is from RNAcentral.
UACACGACCGUACCGCAAACCGACACUGGUGCGCGAGAUGAGUAUUCUAAGGCGCUUGAGAGAACUCAGGAGAAGGAACUCGGCAAAUUGACACCGUAACUUCGGAAGAAGGUGUGCCUUUAGUAGGUGAACCAUUUACUUGGGGAGCCCAAUGAGGCUGCAAAAAAUCGGUGGCUGCAACUGUUUAUUAAAAACACAGCACUCUGCUAAGACGAAAGUCGACGUAUAGGGUGUGACGCCUGCCCGGUGCUGGAAGAUUAAAUGAUGGGGUGCAAGCUCUUGAUUGAAGUCCCAGUAAACGGCGGCCGUAACAAUAACGGUCCUAAGGUAGCGAAAUUCCUUGUCGGGUAAGUUCCGACCUGCACGAAUGGCGUAAUGAUGGCCACACUGUCUCCUCCUGAGACUCAGCGAAGUUGAAAUGUUUGUGAUGAUGCAAUCUCCCCGCGGAAAGACGGAAAGACCCCAUGAACCUUUACUGUAGCUUUGUAUUGGACUUUGAACAGAUCUGUGUAGGAUAGGUGGGAGGCUUUGAAGUGUGGUCGCUAGAUCGCAUGGAGCCAACGUUGAAAUAUCACCCUGGUGUGUUUGAGGUUCUAACCUAGGUCCAUUAUCUGGAUCGGGGACAGUGCAUGGUAGGCAGUUUGACUGGGGCGGUCUCCUCCCAAAGUGUAACGGAGGAGUUCGAAGGUACGCUAGGUACGGUCGGACAUCGUGCUAAUAGUGCAAUGGCAUAAGCGUGCUUAACUGUGAGACCGACAAGUCGAGCAGAUGCGAAAGCAGGACAUAGUGAUCCGGUGGUUCUGUAUGGAAGGGCCAUCGCUCAACGGAUAAAAGGUACUCUGGGGAUAACAGGCUGAUACCGCCCAAGAGUUCAUAUCGACGGCGGUGUUUGGCACCUCGAUGUCGGCUCAUCUCAUCCUGGGGCUGUAGCCGGUCCCAAGGGUAUGGCUGUUCGCCAUUUAAAGAGGUACGUGAGCUGGGUUUAAAACGUCGUGAGACAGUUUGGUCCCUAUCUUCCGUGGGCGCUGCAGAUUUGAGGAAGCCUGCUCCUAGUACGAGAGGACCGGAGUGGACGAACCUCUGGUGUAUCGGUUGUCACGCCAGUGGCAUUGCCGAGUAGCUAAGUUCGGAAGAGAUAACCGCUGAAAGCAUCUAAGCGGGAAACUCGUUUCAAGAUUAGAUCUGCCGGGGCCUUGAGCCCCCUAAAGAGUCGUUCAAGACCAGGACGUUGAUAGGUCAGGUGUGGAAGCAG